GAAUGCUGACAUAAGUAACGAUAAAGCGGGUGAAAAGCCCGCUCGCCGGAAGACCAAGGGUUCCUGUCCAACGUUAAUCGGGGCAGGGUGAGUCGACCCCUAAGGCGAGGCCGAAAGGCGUAGUCGAUGGGAAACGGGUUAAUAUUCCCGUACUUGGUGUUACUGCGAAGGGGGGACGGAGAAGGCUAUGUUGGCCGGGCGACGGUUGUCCCGGUUUAAGCGUGUAGGUGUGUGUUCCAGGUAAAUCCGGUUCACUUUAACACUGAGGCGUGACGACGAGGCACUACGGUGCUGAAGCAACAAAUGCCCUGCUUCCAGGAAAAGCCUCUAAGCAUCAGGUAACAUCAAAUCGUACCCCAAACCGACACAGGUGGUCAGGUAGAGAAUACCAAGGCGCUUGAGAGAACUCGGGUGAAGGAACUAGGCAAAAUGGUGCCGUAACUUCGGGAGAAGGCACGCUGACACGUAGGUGAAGUGAUUUACUCAUGGAGCUGAAGUCAGUCGAAGAUACCAGCUGGCUGCAACUGUUUAUUAAAAACACAGCACUGUGCAAACACGAAAGUGGACGUAUACGGUGUGACGCCUGCCCGGUGCCGGAAGGUUAAUUGAUGGGGUCAGCGCAAGCGAAGCUCCUGAUCGAAGCCCCGGUAAACGGCGGCCGUAACUAUAACGGUCCUAAGGUAGCGAAAUUCCUUGUCGGGUAAGUUCCGACCUGCACGAAUGGCGUAAUGAUGGCCAGGCUGUCUCCACCCGAGACUCAGUGAAAUUGAACUCGCUGUGAAGAUGCAGUGUACCCGCGGCAAGACGGAAAGACCCCGUGAACCUUUACUAUAGCUUGACACUGAACAUUGAGCCUUGAUGUGUAGGAUAGGUGGGAGGCUUUGAAGCGUGGACGCCAGUCUGCGUGGAGCCGACCUUGAAAUACCACCCUUUAAUGUUUGAUGUUCUAACGUGGACCCGUGAUCCGGGUUGCGGACAGUGUCUGGUGGGUAGUUUGACUGGGGCGGUCUCCUCCUAAAGAGUAACGGAGGAGCACGAAGGUUGGCUAAUCCUGGUCGGACAUCAGGAGGUUAGUGCAAUGGCAUAAGCCAGCUUGACUGCGAGCGUGACGGCGCGAGCAGGUGCGAAAGCAGGUCAUAGUGAUCCGGUGGUUCUGAAUGGAAGGGCCAUCGCUCAACGGAUAAAAGGUACUCCGGGGAUAACAGGCUGAUACCGCCCAAGAGUUCAUAUCGACGGCGGUGUUUGGCACCUCGAUGUCGGCUCAUCACAUCCUGGGGCUGAAGUAGGUCCCAAGGGUAUGGCUGUUCGCCAUUUAAAGUGGUACGCGAGCUGGGUUUAGAACGUCGUGAGACAGUUCGGUCCCUAUCUGCCGUGGGCGCUGGAGAACUGAGGGGGGCUGCUCCUAGUACGAGAGGACCGGAGUGGACGCAUCACUGGUGUUCGGGUUGUCAUGCCAAUGGCACUGCCCGGUAGCUACAUGCGGAAGAGAUAAGUGCUGAAAGCAUCUAAGCACGAAACUUGCCCCGAGAUGAGUUCUCCCUGAGACUUUAGGUCUCCUGAAGGAACGUUGAAGACGACGACGUUGAUAGGCCGGGUGUGUAAGCGCAGCGAUGCGUUGAGCU
RNAcentral lists this ribosomal RNA (1622 nucleotides) under Salmonella enterica subsp. enterica serovar Stanley. RNAcentral describes it as "partial 23S ribosomal RNA". It matches the Rfam family "Bacterial large subunit ribosomal RNA", at positions 1292 to 2892 of the family's 2925-position model. The record is from RNAcentral. Lineage: Bacteria; Pseudomonadati; Pseudomonadota; Gammaproteobacteria; Enterobacterales; Enterobacteriaceae.